UGUAUAAUCCGUGUUUUUAAAGCACCGUUUGCUGUGAAAUCUACCCACUUCGCGAUUACGGCUAUCAGGGAAUCCAGCGCUUGCUAAGGGCACUUAAUUAGUCACGUUGUUUCGGCACAACGAAUAAGGCUGCGCAUCUCGGGUGUGGGGGUGACGGCCGAGCCACCCUGAUCUAGUUUUUAUUUAUUUACUUAUUUAUUUUAUACGGAAGCGAAAGCGUGGGCAGUUUAGAGGGGCGACCCCCACAGGGCAGGUAUGCCGAAUAACGCGCAGGAAUUCCCGCGGAUCCCCGAAGGCGGCUCCCGUAACACCGCGCCACUGGCUGCUAGCGCCCAGCCCGCUAUACUUUACUUGACCCGUUAUUUCACCAGAGUGGUUUCCAAACAAUGAAUCAGAAGCGCGACCUCGGUCCUGGUGCCUUGUUUGCACAUUGGACUAGCAGAUGGGAGGCUGAUUCCUGGCCACCAGUAAGGCUGAACUGAUACGCAGGCCUGUUAUAAGCUGCUGAGAAAGGACCAGACCCGUGUUUGUUAUGCAAUACUGCGUGGGCAUUUCAAAAGAAUGUGUAUAUAUAGUACACUUAAAGGAACGGAAUGACAGGCAGUGCUGCAGCUUUAAGCUCUGCUUUCUCGCGGUUACCCUAAAAGGCUGCGAGCCUCACCACCACAGGAACAAAGGUCGAAGCUCAUCUACACAUUGCGGAUCAUCGACAUACCGUGGGCUACCAGCCACCAUCCUUCCUAGACUCUACUCAAGAGUAGGCCAACGUUGCUGGGAGACAAUAUACAUCCACUGACGACGGAUGGAAACUUGACCUUUUCGGCUCAAUUGGGUCGAGAAAAGGUAGCGAAG
Long non-coding RNA from Paramormyrops kingsleyae, 852 nucleotides. RefSeq lists it as uncharacterized. The record is from RefSeq and is a predicted model, not a curated record. NCBI's taxonomy places the organism in Eukaryota, Metazoa, Chordata, Actinopteri, Osteoglossiformes, Mormyridae.